Long non-coding RNA from Ruditapes philippinarum (Manila clam), 463 nucleotides. RefSeq lists it as uncharacterized. Lineage: Eukaryota; Metazoa; Mollusca; Bivalvia; Venerida; Veneridae. The transcript is spliced from 2 exons. The record is from RefSeq and is a predicted model, not a curated record.
CUAUGUCAUGAAAUUAGUUUAUCUUGUUUUUCUAUUUACAGAGUGGCUUUGUCAUAGAAUGAUGAUGGUUGACCAUGUGUAUAAACUUGACUUGCAUGUGCUGCAUAAAGACAUUGUGACUGUUUCGAAAUGAGAGUCAAUAUGCAAAACUAGAGGCAGGGUGCAUAUACCAGCAAUUUACAAGGUAAGUUUUGUGACCAUUACUUUGUUAGAUACUAGUCUGUGUUGUGCUUUAUAUCAGUGUGUUAUGAGAUGAUCUUAUUUUCAUGAAGAUACUCAAGACUGCUAUAGGGAAAUAAUGAAAAAACCCUGAUGUAAAGCACUUGUAUAGGGAAAAUUGCAUAGUUAUUUGAGAUUCUGAAAUAUAUAUGUUAAAAGAAGUUUUCUAAGGGGAAGUGGACAUACAAGGAAAAUAAAAAAGCAGUGGUAAAAAUAGGAUACAGUAAUACUUAUUUCUGUGAAA